RNAcentral lists this ribosomal RNA (253 nucleotides) under uncultured bacterium. Its description in RNAcentral is "partial 16S ribosomal RNA". It matches the Rfam family "Bacterial small subunit ribosomal RNA", at positions 524 to 776 of the family's 1533-position model. The record is from RNAcentral.
UACGAAGGGGGCUAGCGUUGCCCGGAAUCACUGGGCGUAAAGCGCACGUAGGCGGCUUCUUAAGUCAGGGGUGAAAUCCUGGAGCUCAACUCCAGAACUGCCUUUGAUACUGAGGAGCUUGAGUCCGGGAGAGGUGAGUGGAACUGCGAGUGUAGAGGUGAAAUUCGUAGAUAUUCGCAAGAACACCAGUGGCGAAGGCGGCUCACUGGCCCGGUACUGACGCUGAGGUGCGAAAGCGUGGGGAGCAAACAGG